Molecule: non-coding RNA, 132 nt
Organism: Arvicanthis niloticus (Nile rat)
Lineage: Eukaryota; Metazoa; Chordata; Mammalia; Rodentia; Muridae
Source: RefSeq, a predicted model, not a curated record
CCUGCCCCUAGAGGCUCUGCAGGUGUGGCUGCUGUGUCACAUAUGUGUCAGGAAAUGACAGAGAGGGGAGAGGCCAUGUUUAUAUUCAGUGUCCUGACCUAUGAACAUCUGAAUGAUUGGUAGCCUAACACU